UACGGGGGGUGCAAGCGUUAUCCGGAUUCACUGGGUUUAAAGGGUGCGUAGGUGGUGCUGUAAGUCAGUGGUGAAAUCUCCAAGCUUAACUUGGAAACUGCCGUUGAUACUAUAGCUCUUGAAUGUUGUGGAGGUGAGCGGAAUAUGUCAUGUAGCGGUGAAAUGCUUAGAUAUGACAUAGAACACCAAUUGCGAAGGCAGCUCACUACACAAAUAUUGACACUGAGGCACGAAAGCGUGGGGAUCAAACAGG
Molecule: ribosomal RNA, 253 nt
Filed under: uncultured bacterium
Lineage: Bacteria
Description: partial 16S ribosomal RNA
Rfam family: Bacterial small subunit ribosomal RNA
Source: RNAcentral